Molecule: ribosomal RNA, 460 nt
Filed under: uncultured bacterium
Lineage: Bacteria
Description: partial 16S ribosomal RNA
Rfam family: Bacterial small subunit ribosomal RNA
Source: RNAcentral
CCUACGGGAGGCAGCAGUGAGGAAUAUUGGUCAAUGGGCGGGAGCCUGAACCAGCCAAGUCGCGUGAGGGAAGACGGUCCUAUGGAUUGUAAACCUCUUUAGGCGGGGAGCAAUGCCGGGCACGCGUGCCCGGAGGGAGAGUACCCGCAGAAUACGCAUCGGCAAACUCCGUGCCAGCAGCCGCGGUAAUACGGAGGAUGCGAGCGUUAUCCGGAUUUAGUGGGUUUAAGGGGUGCGUAGGCGGAUUUUUAAGGCAGCGGUAAAAUGUCCGGGCUCAACCCGGGCCGGCCGUUGAAACUGGGGAUCUUGAGUGGGCGAGAAGUAUGCGGAAUGCGUGGUGUAGCGGUGAAAUGCAUAGAUAUCACGCAGAACUCCGAUUGCGAAGGCAGCAUACCGGCGCCCGACUGACGCUGAGGCACGAAAGCGUGGGGAUCGAACAGGAUUAGAUACCCUGGUAGUC